GACGAACGCUGGCGGUGUGCUUAACACAUGCAAGUCGAACGGAAAGGCCCUGCUUUUGUGGGGUGCUCGAGUGGCGAACGGGUGAGUAACACGUGAGUAACCUGCCCUUGACUUUGGGAUAACUUCAGGAAACUGGGGCUAAUACCGGAUAGGAGCUCCUGCUGCAUGGUGGGGGUUGGAAAGUUUCGGCGGUUGGGGAUGGACUCGCGGCUUAUCAGCUUGUUGGUGGGGUAGUGGCUUACCAAGGCUUUGACGGGUAGCCGGCCUGAGAGGGUGACCGGCCACAUUGGGACUGAGAUACGGCCCAGACUCCUACGGGAGGCAGCAGUGGGGAAUAUUGCACAAUGGGCGGAAGCCUGAUGCAGCAACGCCGCGUGCGGGAUGACGGCCUUCGGGUUGUAAACCGCUUUCGCCUGUGACGAAGCGUGAGUGACGGUAAUGAGUAAAGAAGCACCGGCUAACUACGUG
RNAcentral lists this ribosomal RNA (468 nucleotides) under uncultured bacterium. RNAcentral's name for it is "partial 16S ribosomal RNA". It matches the Rfam family "Bacterial small subunit ribosomal RNA", at positions 28 to 507 of the family's 1533-position model. The record is from RNAcentral.